UACCUUUCCUUCUUUUUAUCCACUGUAGAUCAAGACAGAUAUUACAAUGCAUCUUUCCAAAUCACCAAUGUCGACUAUAAUCCUCAGUAUGAAAGGCAAACUACAGAGGAGUUCAGGAACCUAAGUGAACAUAUCGAAACCAUGAUGUCUCAAGUAUUCAGGGGGUCCUUUCUAAGUAAAAGAUACAUCAGGUCCCAUGUGGUCAGUCUAAGCCCAGAUCCUGUUGGAGUGCUUGCAUCUGUUGUUCUGGUAUUUAAAUUUCCCUCUGCUGACAGUGAAGCAACGACCCG
Molecule: long non-coding RNA, 290 nt
Filed under: Camarhynchus parvulus
Lineage: Eukaryota; Metazoa; Chordata; Aves; Passeriformes; Thraupidae
Description: lncRNA (ENSCPVG00000016952.1)
Source: RNAcentral